GAUUCAUGCCAUUUUCUAGGGUUGGGUUAGUUAUGGCAGGAGUGGCUUUGUUCGCAAAAGCCACCUCUCUCCCGAGCUCUCCUGCCAUAUGAUAUCCUCCGCCAUGUUAUGAUCCAGUGAGGUGGCCCUCACCAGAUACCAGCACCUUGAUUUUGGACUUCCCACUUUCCAGAGAUAUCCAAUGUGAGGAAUCUGAGCCUAGAGCCUGGAGACCACAGGGCAGCAGUUGGAAAGGGAGGGUGGAUGUCAACUGUAGGAUGGAGAAAAAUGAGGAACAGAGACAUACAACUUGCUUGAUAGAAUACAGUACCCGAUGGUGAUCACACAGCUCACAACAUCCUUCUGAGUCAAGAAGAGAAGUGGGGUGGAUUCCCCUACUCCGCUUCUGGUGAAAAAAGAGCAAAGCAGUCAAGCGAUUACUCAAAAGUACCAGGGAAAGUUAGUGAUGGUGUUGAAACAAUUUCACAUUCAAAAUGAAUGGACGCACAUACCGGAAAAGACAAGAACUCUUUCCAUGCAACCAACAGGG
Long non-coding RNA from Heterocephalus glaber (naked mole-rat), 529 nucleotides. NCBI's taxonomy places the organism in Eukaryota, Metazoa, Chordata, Mammalia, Rodentia, Bathyergidae. The record is from Ensembl.